UGAGGGCAAGGCACAGCAUAAUCAGCUGAUGGCCCUCCCAUAACAGCCUAUUGACUACUGAGGUUGCCUUCAAGACAGUGCGCAGGGCGUCACACAUCAAUGUGAUUGGCUUCAGACUGUUGAUGUAAUGAUGAUCAUGUAAGAUCAGUUUGACAUUGAGCUAUCUGUUAUAUAUGCUCUGGGAAAGUCAGGAUUCUUCUUCCAACUGCAGUGUGCAAAGAAUAUGGGUGAAAUUACAUCACUACUGCAUUCUCUAAAACAGAGAUUCAGAGGGAUCAUUGCCCAGCACUUUCUCUGAAUGAGGAGUUCCCCUAAUAGUGAUUGAAGAGGCAGACCCAUGGGGUUAAAGUCUUGCAAACCUUGCAACUCCUGCCUGCAAAGUAAGGAGGACUGCAGAGCGGCUGAUGGCUGCUCAUGUGUGUGUGACCACUGGAGAUAUUGCUCUGAACACUGCUGUGACAUCUGCUGCCAGAUGUGUGUGGACGUGUGCUCUGGCUUAUGUUCAGGAGACUGCAGCUACACCUUCUGUACUCUCUGCCUCGGCAUGGCACAGAACUGUAUCUCCUUUUUUACCACCCAAAAAACUGAAUCAUCAGAGUCACAACAGGCUAUGAUGGAUCCAGUACAGCGUGCCUUUUGAACAUGAUGGACCAGUGACCAAACCAAAAAUUUGGAUUGAUUUGAAAACACAAUGCAAGUAAAUUCAGCUACAUAGCAUUUGUUUAUACAAUUAAAAAAAUAAAGGUUGAUGACAUGGUG
RNA transcript from Gymnodraco acuticeps, 759 nucleotides. It is a transcript of the gene named keratin-associated protein 5-4-like, with no coding region annotated. NCBI's taxonomy places the organism in Eukaryota, Metazoa, Chordata, Actinopteri, Perciformes, Bathydraconidae. The record is from RefSeq and is a predicted model, not a curated record. The transcript is spliced from 4 exons.